AAGUAGGAAUAAGUAGGAAACCAGGCUUUAUUAGUUUAUAAUCAGAACUAAUAAAGCCUGGUUUCCUAUUUAUUCCCACUU
Molecule: non-coding RNA, 81 nt
Filed under: Chloebia gouldiae (Gouldian finch)
Lineage: Eukaryota; Metazoa; Chordata; Aves; Passeriformes; Passeridae
Also listed under: 1 other name
Source: RNAcentral